ACACAUGCAUGCACACACACACACACACACACACACACACUCACACACACUCACACGCAGAUUUGAACCACUGCCCGUUCUACACUGAAAAAAAGGAGACUGGCCUACUCUUGGAUUUAUGUAAAUGUCUUGGAUGCAUUUAACACAAUUAACUCAUGUUUUAAAGUUAAACGUAACUCUAUAGUGUAGAAACUACAUAAUAUGCAAAGAGGGCACGUGAAUUUGUUCAGAUCAUGUUGGCAUGAAGUGAGUCAAUAAAGAAGCGAUGUAAUUCUCGUGAUACCGCACGUGAUCUCGUCUGGCGCGCUUUACAUUGUUGCCAGAAGAAGCAGGCAACGGUCACAUCAAAGGGCUCGUCGUACUGUACUCCACGCCACUAUUCGGUCGAUUGACAGACAAACUCAACUCUGCAUUUCACCUGGAGUCAGUUGAUGGAUCGUGGGCUCAAGUUUUUGUGGGCUAGAAGUUUAAUGAGGUUGUAACGUGAGUGUUCUCGGAUUGCAAAUUUCAAACAACCGCCCUUUUUGAUGCAACGGAGAUAAACGCAGAGUUUAAGAGCAUCCCAGCCAUGCCUCUACAAUCAAAGUGUUUGCAAAGCGGCCGGGGAGCAGGGAAAAAAGCUGAAAGUCAUAUCUGCCAUGAUGACAGAUGACAUUGAUGCCAGAAGGGAGUCCCACAUUAAAGGACUGCAUCUAUCUGAAUGAGAAUCCCAACGUCUUGGAGCGGGAGUACACGGACAUGACUGAGGCCACUGC
Molecule: long non-coding RNA, 755 nt
Organism: Etheostoma spectabile (orangethroat darter)
Lineage: Eukaryota; Metazoa; Chordata; Actinopteri; Perciformes; Percidae
Exons: 6
Source: RefSeq, a predicted model, not a curated record